UGAGACUCUGAGGGGAUAGCAUGCAUUUCUGGAGACCUCUUUUCUAGAGAUGAGGGACCAGGGACAGAGACUUUGUCACUCUCUAUCAUCUGAAGGCCAAAAACAGGACACCUAUUAAUUGUAACGUCCACAUGUAUUUUUUAAAUUGCCGCAUCCCGGUAUCAGCAGGGAGAGCAGCUUGCAGCUUGGUUUAACAUGCUGCUAACUGCCACCUACAGAUGCAAGCAUGAAACAUAUACAGUCCCUGGGCCUAUUGAAUUAUUUAAAGUAUAAAGCAUAAUGCAAUGCUUUUGCUGUGCCAAAGAGAAAUGAUUCUCUUUGGAGAUCAUAUCCUGGAGAUUGUAUUAGACUCGUCUCCCCAGUUCCCUGCUUUCAGCCUUUCCAGUAACAUGAAGCACUUAUCAAAUUAGAAUUCUUCAGAAACAGAAUGGCACAGACCAGUCUAUAUUUAGCAACAACAACCCCAAAGCAGCUGAAUCAGCUGACUGGAAGCUGCUACCCUGAUGUGCAGCCUUGGUUUAGAUAGCACAUAUUCAACGCUAGAAUCAAGGAGGACAGACAGCACAAGAGAAGAGACGCUGAGCCUGGACAUUUAAGAGCAUCUGGGUCAUACCCUGAAACAGAUCCAGUCAGAAAUGGCUCCUCGGAUAAGACUGAACUUAGCUAAGCCUCUUCCAACCAUCAGUGAAGCUUUUGAGGAAGUGCUAGAAGACAUAACAAGCAACACAAAAAGUUUUGGGAAUGUUUAUCUGAGUUCGGAUUCUUGUUCUGGUGAAGAAAACUACCUUCAAUCUGUCUACCAGCAGGCAAGGCCUGCGUUCCUGGUACCACCAGAAAAUAAGCAUAAAAUCCAAGACAUCAACAAAUCUAGAAAGCUACACAAUAAUUACAGGGUCUUAAAAUUCUCUGAAACACCAAAAAUGGUCUCCAGAUACACCCUUCCUAACAUGCUAUUGUUAGAGAGACAGUGCUUCGUUCUUGAUUGCAUCAAAACUUACUCCAGCUCAAACAUGGACCCAUUGGAUACAGACACUCAGAAAAAUCAUAGGUGGAGAUGUCCUAAGGGCUAUGAGAACACUGAUAAUGAUGACGCAAAGCACAACUUUCAUGGCAUCAGUCUGGGCACACCUCAAGAAAAAGUAAUAGAGAAACGCGAUCUUGUCAGCCUCUUUCCAAGAAUUCCCUCCCCGAGACCACCGCCCAAGGAAGAUGGUGGCCAAGAGCUAAGAAACCUGAAAAACCAAGACAAGCACGGCCUGCAUUGGAAAGACAGGUCAAAGGGAGAGGAGGUAGAACUGAUUGCUGGUUGCACUUCUGUGGGGCCCCAUCAUGACUAGGGGGCCUGUUCUUGAAUCAAGAAAGAAGAGCUCUGAAGAUUAUUGCCUUUAUAUUAACAUCCUCCCUCCUGCCCCUCUAUAUGGAAAGAUACCAUAAUCUUUUUCUUUUAACCAUCCAUUUGAGCAGCUGUGUUGUGCAAGGUCUAGAAACGCUGCCAUGUUCUGUACACAAGAUUCCUAGUGUGAUAAUUAUAUAUGUACUAUAUGUGAUGUGAGAAUUAAUGGAAAUAAACAUUUAAAAGAUCUUCCUGCUGUGGUGACU
Pogona vitticeps (central bearded dragon) is the source of this 1599-nucleotide long non-coding RNA. The record is from Ensembl. Lineage: Eukaryota; Metazoa; Chordata; Lepidosauria; Squamata; Agamidae.